CCUACGGGAGGCUGCAGUGGGGAAUAUUGGACAAUGGGCGAAAGCCUGAUCCAGCCAUGCCGCGUGUGUGAAGAAGGCCUUCGGGUUGUAAAGCACUUUCAGUGGGGAAGAAAGCCUUGGGGCUAAUACCCUCGAGGAAGGACAUCACCCACAGAAGAAGCACCGGCUAACUCCGUGCCAGCAGCCGCGGUAAUACGGAGGGUGCGAGCGUUAAUCGGAAUUACUGGGCGUAAAGCGCGCGUAGGCGGUCUGAUAAGCCGGUUGUGAAAGCCCCGGGCUCAACCUGGGAACGGCAUCCGGAACUGUCAGGUUAGAGUGCAGGAGAGGAAGGUAGAAUUCCCGGUGUAGCGGUGAAAUGCGUAGAGCUCGGGAGGAAUACCAGUGGCGAAGGCGGCCUUCUGGACUGACACUGACGCUGAGGUGCGAAAGCGUGGGUAGCAAACAGGAUUAGAUACCCUAGUAGUC
This 465-nucleotide ribosomal RNA is filed under the name Vreelandella stevensii. RNAcentral's name for it is "partial 16S ribosomal RNA". It matches the Rfam family "Bacterial small subunit ribosomal RNA", at positions 338 to 795 of the family's 1533-position model. Lineage: Bacteria; Pseudomonadati; Pseudomonadota; Gammaproteobacteria; Oceanospirillales; Halomonadaceae. The record is from RNAcentral.